GCUCGUGUAGGCCUUGUGCUGAAAAUCUUUUCCUUCUCCUAAAUAAAAUUAAAAAAUAUUAUUUUAAGGGUUCUAGCGCAUGUGUGAUCGCACGCAUCGUCCUUGUGCUAGAAGACCCUUUCCUUUCUAUAAAUAAAAUUAAAAAAUAUUAUUUUAAGGGUUCUAGCGCAUGUGUGAUCGCACGCAUCGUCCUUGUGCUAGAAAACCUUUUCUUCUUGCUUACAUAAGAAUACCAAAAAUUUCAUUUUCAAACAACAGACAACUUUAGAAAGAACUACGUAACCCUGAUUUCUCAUUUUGAAUGAGAAUACGUAGGAGCAAGGUCAAUCCUUGUCGGGC
This 339-nucleotide long non-coding RNA is filed under the name Vigna radiata. RNAcentral describes it as "long non-coding RNA (VRAD_LNC006311)". The record is from RNAcentral. Lineage: Eukaryota; Viridiplantae; Streptophyta; Magnoliopsida; Fabales; Fabaceae.